Sinocyclocheilus anshuiensis is the source of this 85-nucleotide long non-coding RNA. RefSeq lists it as uncharacterized. NCBI's taxonomy places the organism in Eukaryota, Metazoa, Chordata, Actinopteri, Cypriniformes, Cyprinidae. The record is from RefSeq and is a predicted model, not a curated record. The transcript is spliced from 3 exons.
GUUUCAGACUUCUUUAUUUAUGUUAGUUUCCCUGACCCUAGACCAGGGUCGUAACAAAAUUGUAUGUACAGCCACACACACAAAC